Neodiprion virginianus is the source of this 71-nucleotide small nucleolar RNA. RefSeq annotates it as small nucleolar RNA SNORD18. The record is from RefSeq and is a predicted model, not a curated record. The transcript has a single exon. Lineage: Eukaryota; Metazoa; Arthropoda; Insecta; Hymenoptera; Diprionidae.
AUCCAAUGAUGAUUCAACUUUUGGUCCGUGUUUAUGAAUGCCACUGAUUUCUUUUCAAAAGUCCUGAAGAA